GUUGAAUCAUUAAGCCAGCGGUCGAACUACUGAUCUAUUGACCUGCUGCAUUAUUCAGAUUAGUGUCUGAGUCGGGUGUGAGAAAUGUGGUUUUUCGUAUCCAACCCACUGUCAUCUACCCUUCAAAAUCCUUAUUAUUUCCCAAUUUAUUCUCUCUCUCCAGCACCCCCAUCCAUUCUCACUUCUCCCAUCUCUCUCUACCCUCUUUCUCCAAAAACUGCCCCACUACCCACGGUCCACAGUCGUUGCCGCCGCCGCCAUGCCCACCGAAUACGUCGCCUGCCGAUAUAAGAUCUCAUAGAAUCUAUUUUUUCGCUCUCUAUACCGGCGCUCCUCCCAUUCUCUCUUCCUCUCGCAUCUCUCUCUAUCCUCCCUCUCCAAAAAUUGCAUCGCCGUGAUGUCGCUGCGCCGUCACAAUGCCCACAGCAAUACAUCACCCGUUGAUCUGAGAGCGGCGUCGAUCUGAGAUCUCAGAGCAGAUCUGAGAGGCGUCGAUGGGUUCAGAUGGUUCGGUGCUGUGGUGGUGGUUUUACAGUUAUUGUGGUUGCGGUACGGUUUGGUUGCUAUGGUUUGUUAUGGUUGCAAUUAGUGUUGAGUCCCCCCCGCCCCCCCCAUAAAUGUAAUUACGACAGAUCAAAUCCUCAUGUGGUGGUGAUAAGGUAGUCGUCGGUGGGGUAGUAGAGUAGUCUUACCGUUGAUUAAAUUAUUUCUCACUCCGAUUUGAUCAAAAACUAAUAGAAAUAGUUUGUCUCAUUUUUCUAUUUUUUUUUUUAUUUUAAUUAUAUGAAAACAGUUAAAGAUACUUUUUUGAUAUGAUUGUUAAGCGUUAGGAUUCUUGAAUUACCAAAUUUUGCAAUUUAGUCCCUCUUUUAAUUCUCUCCAUCAUUUUUGAUGGUUAACUGUAAAUUACGCAUUUUGGUCUUUCAACUUCUAUUCAUGUGCAAAUUAGUCCACAUUCCAUCCAAUGGCCAAAUCAUCUUUCUUUCUUUUCAUACUUAGAAACAGAAAGAAAUUAAACGACAUUAAGUAGAAACCAACACUUUGUCGACAUAAAGCUUAGUAAUUAAGAAGCAUCGACAUGGACACUUCGGUCCGUAUCCGACAUCGAUACAUUGACGCCGACAGCAUGUCCAUGCUUGCCAGUUUAGUAAUAUGAUUCGAAUAAGUGCACAAAAUGCACUUAUAAGUAAGGUUGGCCCUAGGUGGGGGUAGAGGAGUAUCUUAAGCAUUACACUUAAAUGAUGCUGCUAUUACCCAUUUCUGAUGCUAUUGUGCAUUAAACUCCUUAAUUAUGUUGGAUCAAAUUCAGGAUGAGCUGCGAGGUGGUGUUGCAUUACUUGUAUUUGCCAACAAGCAAGAUCUCCCCCAUGCAAUGACUACAGCUGAAAUAGCAGACAAGCUUGACCUGUACUCGCUGAGGAAUCGUGACUGGUAAACAAAUCUUGAUUCUUUAUUGCCAUUGGUCUUUGUUCAUUAGUUUUUUACCUUAAUUGUUUUUGCUUACUUUGCUUCCAGGUACAUCCAGUGCACCUGUCCCACGUCUGGAAAGGGGCUUUACGAGGGUCUCGACUGGCUCUCUAUUACCAUUCUUUACAAGGUAAGUUCUGUUUAUCCAACAAUGUCGAUGCGCUUUCUUUUUAAUUUGUAUUCGGUUCAGUUUCUCACAGUUGCUCCCUUCUUGCAGGCAUGAGGUCUGAGCUGAUUCCGAGUUGGAAGUUGAGGUUUAUCGAUUAUUAAUCAUAUACAAACGAAUUGUCUGUGUGUGUUUUGUUCAGAACUUCUUAUGUUGUCUGAUGCGUGUUACUGCAAACAUAUGUUCAGUUAUAUUAUUCUUUUAAGACCUUAUUUGGUUUGGAUUAAAUGUUUUUA
This 1869-nucleotide long non-coding RNA is filed under the name Olea europaea subsp. europaea. The record is from RNAcentral. Lineage: Eukaryota; Viridiplantae; Streptophyta; Magnoliopsida; Lamiales; Oleaceae.